ACUCCGGGAGUUGAUGGACAGGGAGGCCUGGAGUGCUGCAAUUCAUGGGGCUGCAAAUAAUUGGACAUGAUUGAAUGACUGAACUGAACUGAUAGCCCUCAUUCUUUAUCUCAAGGCAAGAGUAACUCGUAUACUCACCUUUAAAUCCAUGGAAAGAGAAAUUUUUGAAGAAUAAAUCCUUCUACUAGAGCAAAUAGUUAUUUUUAGUGAAAAAGGGGGUUCACAGUGUAAAUAACCAUCUCUUCACCAGUGAACUACUGGGGAGCUUAAGCUUUGCCUAACAUAUUAUCAUAGAAAGCUGGUAGUAUCUGCCUCCAAGGCUGAAGCUUUAAGAUAAUUACCAAAGAUUUUCCCAGCUUCUUUCUCCCCAGGGACUUAAUCUCUUGCUUUUCUUACUUGAAUGGUAUAAAAUCAAGAUCUUUGAUUCAAAUACACAACAUAACUUCACAUCCCCCAAACCUCAGGAGAAACCUGUUUACAGGUAUCAGCAUUUCCAUUUAAAUACAGGAAAUGAGUUGAAGAAAAUGUGUCAAUAGUGCCUUGCCCAGCACUUCUCUGGAGGUCUGAAGCCUGACUUAUCGAAGAAGUCUCAUUCAUUUCUCAUUACUUUCUUAAGCUUAAGAGAGAAAAGGUUGGGCCAUCUGGACCCUUUGUGGAAGCUCACAUCAAAGUAAAUCUCUUCUAAAAACUGGAGAAAUUGGAUAUUAACAAGGGAUGACAUGAGCACAAAAGGCAUUUAUGCAACUACAAACUGCUGCCAUUCUCCAAAGACCGAACUUUAGAAUAACAAUGUCACUUGCACAUUCAACUUGGUGUUACACAUACACACACACACAUACACAGAGGCACAAAGUACAUACUUUGAUGUCAGAGCAUCACAGCAUGCUGGUGUGUCAGGUUAGAUCAACUCUUAAGGAUCUUUCAAAACUCUUACCUAGCAGGGAGAAUCUUUGCUAUCAGCUCCAAAGUUAUCACCCCUCUGUUCCUUAACACUUCCUUUUACCUGGGGCACAAUGCUGUGUAAAUAAUCACUGCAAGCAUUUUUUUUUUUUUUUUCUUAUUCUGAGUCAGCAUUUACUUCCCUGUAACUUUAAUUAUUGUUCCUAAUUCUGCCUUUGGAAGGAAUAUUAAAAAGAAAUUUUUAUAUGCUUUAUUAUAGAUUUUCAAUAAAGAGAGCUCAAUUUUGUUACAUGAAUGGCAGCUGUCACUCACAUAAUUCACCUGAAUUCGUGAUAGAUAGCAUCUCUCCUUUUCAUACUGGCAUGUAUGGUUGUUUUGAAACAGAAUUUUCCCCCUUAUUCCUCUUAAAAUUAGUUUUCUUUUAAACUUAACUCUUCCAAUUAAUUAAAGUGGGGACCUAUUUACUCUGACCUUUCUCCUUUAGUAUUUUCUAUCUUGUAAAACAUUUAUCUUAUGAAUUCAUCAGUGUUACUAAUUAGCACAUUUUUUCAUUUGAUCUACAUAAUUAUGUAAGACUGUGUUAAACUGGAUUGAUAUUUUUUAGACUUUUUUAUUUUUAAAUAAUUUUAGGUUUACAAAAAAUUUCAGAAACAAUACAAAGAGUAUCUGUAUACUGCUCAGAGUACCCUAAUAUAAACAGCUUGGGGAGAACAGUGAGAUUACCAAAACCAGUUAAUUCUAUUAAGGUCAUGCUAUUACCUCUAUUAUAUUCUUAACUUACAUUUCACCAGUUCCUCCAUGACUGUUCCUGUUCUGUUCCAGGAUCCAAUGCAGUAUCCCACAUAGCAGCUAGAUGUCAUAGCUCCUUAGUCUCUUUUGAUCUGGGAUAGUCCCUCUGUAUCCUAUUGCCUUUCAUGACCCUUUGACUUAAAGAGCACUUCCUGGUGCUCUGGUGUUGACCUGGUGCUUUUCCUGGUCAAGUAUUUUGUAGAAUGCCCCUCAGAGCCUGACUGAUGUUUUCAAAUGAUAUUGAGGUUAUGCAUUAUUGGCAAGAAUGCCACCUUGUAGUCUCGUCAAGGCAUCAUACUAAGGUAUGGUGAUGCUGAUCUGCUUUAUCACUGGUGAUGAUAAACUUCAUCACUCAGUGAUGAUGAAAUCUGCAGGUUUCUUUAUCUUGCAUGUGUUACUGUUCCCUUUACAAUUCACAAAUAUCUUUGGUGAGAUAUUUUGAGACUUUGCACGUAUAAUGCCUCUCCUCCAACUUUUAACCACUCAUGUUAGAAUCCGUAGGCGAUUCUUGCCUGCUUGUUUCUGUGGUGCUCUCAUGCUGCUUUUUUAUUUUGCCUACUCAUUCUAUUUUGUUAAUUAGCAUUCCUCUGUAAGGAAGAGUUGCCUCUUCUCUCACUCUUCAUUUAUGUGUUCAAUAAUUUGUAUCAUGUUGGACUCCUAGAUACUUAGUUUACUCUGUGGGUUAUAAUUUAAUAUGCCCAUGAUUUAUUUUGCUUCUCAAACUGGUCCAGCUUUGGAAGUUCUUUUAGCUGGACUCCUGUGUUUCUAAGACACGCUCCAUUUUUUUCAGUUCUUUACUUAUUUUGAAUCACAGGAUGCUCCAGGUUCAUCUUUUAUUCUCUCUCCUCAGCUCUGAUAUAUAACAUUUCUCCAAGAAUCCCUGGCUCUUUUUAUUAGAGAAUGGUCUUCGGAAACCAGGAUCUUGUUACUAGGUGUGCUCAUUCCUACUGGAGUAGGUAGACUUAU
RNAcentral lists this long non-coding RNA (2655 nucleotides) under Capra hircus (goat). RNAcentral's name for it is "lncRNA (ENSCHIG00010002414.1)". The record is from RNAcentral. Lineage: Eukaryota; Metazoa; Chordata; Mammalia; Artiodactyla; Bovidae.